GGUAUGGCUGUUCGCCAUUUAAAGUGGUACGUGAGCUGGGUUUAAAACGUCGUGAGACAGUUUGGUCCCUAUCUGCCGUGGGCGUUGGAAAUUUGAAGGGGGCUGCUCCUAGUACGAGAGGACCGGAGUGGACGAACCUCUGGUGUACCGGUUGUCACGCCAGUGGCAUUGCCGGGUAGCUAAGUUCGGAAGAGAUAACCGCUGAAAGCA
This 210-nucleotide ribosomal RNA is filed under the name Amorphochlora amoebiformis. RNAcentral describes it as "partial Bacterial large subunit ribosomal RNA". It matches the Rfam family "Bacterial large subunit ribosomal RNA", at positions 2570 to 2779 of the family's 2925-position model. The record is from RNAcentral. Lineage: Eukaryota; Cercozoa; Chlorarachniophyceae.